RNAcentral lists this ribosomal RNA (253 nucleotides) under uncultured bacterium. RNAcentral's name for it is "partial 16S ribosomal RNA". It matches the Rfam family "Bacterial small subunit ribosomal RNA", at positions 524 to 776 of the family's 1533-position model. The record is from RNAcentral.
UACGGAGGGCGCAAGCGUUGUUCGGAAUUACUGGGCGUAAAGCGCGUGUAGGUGGCUUGGAAAGUCGGGUGUGAAAUCCCGGAGCUCAACUCCGGAACUGCAUCCGAUACUGCCAAGCUCGAGUCUCGGAGAGGAUGGCGGAAUUUCCGGUGUAGAGGUGAAAUUCGUAGAUAUCGGAAGGAACACCAGUGGCGAAGGCGGCCGUCUGGACGAUGACUGACACUGAGACGCGACAGCGUGGGGAGCAAACAGG